Molecule: ribosomal RNA, 448 nt
Filed under: uncultured bacterium
Lineage: Bacteria
Description: bacterial SSU rRNA
Rfam family: Bacterial small subunit ribosomal RNA
Source: RNAcentral
GCCAGACUCCUACGGGAGGCAGCAGUGGGGAAUAUUGCACAAUGGGCGAAAGCCUGAUGCAGCAACGCCGCGUGAAGGAAGAAGGCCUUCGGGUCGUAAACUUCUGUCCUUGGGGAAGAAGAACUGACGGUACCCAAGGAGGAAGCCCCGGCUAACUACGUGCCAGCAGCCGCGGUAAUACGUAGGGGGCAAGCGUUAUCCGGAAUUACUGGGCGUAAAGGGUGCGUAGGUGGUUUCUUAAGUCAGAGGUGAAAGGCUACGGCUCAACCGUAGUAGGCCUUUGAAACUGGGGAACUUGAGUGCAGGAGAGGAGAGUGGAAUUCCUAGUGUAGCGGUGAAAUGCGUAGAUAUUAGGAGGAACACCAGUGGCGAAGGCGACUUUCUGGACUGUACCUGACGCUGAGGCGCGAAAGCGUGGGUAGCGAACGGGAUUAGAUACCCGCGUACA